RNAcentral lists this ribosomal RNA (379 nucleotides) under uncultured bacterium. RNAcentral's name for it is "bacterial SSU rRNA". It matches the Rfam family "Bacterial small subunit ribosomal RNA", at positions 30 to 405 of the family's 1533-position model. The record is from RNAcentral.
AUUGAACGCUGGCGGCAUGCCUUACACAUGCAAGUCGAACGGCAGCACGGGAGCAAUCCUGGUGGCGAGUGGCGAACGGGUGAGUAAUAUAUCGGAACGUGCCCAGUCGUGGGGGAUAACGCAGCGAAAGCUGUGCUAAUACCGCAUACGAUCUCUGGAUGAAAGCGGGGGACUCAGCAAUGGGCCUCGCGCGAUUGGAGCGGCCGAUAUCAGAUUAGCUAGUUGGUGGGGUAAAAGCCCACCAAGGCGACGAUCUGUAGCUGGUCUGAGAGGACGACCAGCCACACUGGGACUGAGACACGGCCCAGACUCCUACGGGAGGCAGCAGUGGGGAAUUUUGGACAAUGGGCGCAAGCCUGAUCCAGCAAUGCCGCGUGCA